UCCGUAGGCGGAUUGAUAAGUCAGAGGUGAAAUCCCACAGCUCAACUGUGGAACUGCCUUUGAUACUGUUAGUCUUGAGUCAUAUGGAAGUAGAUAGAAUGUGUAGUGUAGCGGUGAAAUGCAUAGAGAUUACACAGAAUACCGAUUGCGAAGGCAGUCUACUACGUAUGUACUGACGCUAAUGGACGAAAGCGUGGGGAGCGAACAGGAUUAGAUACCCUGGUAGUCC
RNAcentral lists this ribosomal RNA (229 nucleotides) under uncultured bacterium. RNAcentral describes it as "partial 16S ribosomal RNA". It matches the Rfam family "Bacterial small subunit ribosomal RNA", at positions 568 to 796 of the family's 1533-position model. The record is from RNAcentral.